AAAAUAGAUAGAGGCGCGGGAGCGACUACAUCAGCUGGAGUCGGCAGACACCUGACAGCUGGUUUCAGCAAUUCCGCCGAACUGCAGUCUUAGGCAUAGGAUUGUGGUGGGCUUAUGAAGAAGAUUCAUAAGACUGUCUACCAUCAGUAGAUGUGCUAUCAUUAUU
RNAcentral lists this non-coding RNA (166 nucleotides) under Erysipelotrichaceae bacterium. RNAcentral's name for it is "Lysine sequence". It matches the Rfam family "Lysine riboswitch aptamer". Rfam says of the family: Riboswitches are metabolite binding domains within certain messenger RNAs that serve as precision sensors for their corresponding targets. The record is from RNAcentral. Lineage: Bacteria; Bacillati; Bacillota; Erysipelotrichia; Erysipelotrichales; Erysipelotrichaceae.